GGCUCAGGAUGAACGCUAGCUACAGGCUUAACACAUGCAAGUCGAGGGGAAACGACAUCGAAAGCUUGCUUUUGAUGGGCGUCGACCGGCGCACGGGUGAGUAACGCGUAUCCAACCUGCCCACCACUUGGGGAUAACCUUGCGAAAGUAAGACUAAUACCCAAUGACGUCUCUAGAAGACAUCUGAAAGAGAUUAAAGAUUUAUCGGUGAUGGAUGGGGAUGCGUCUGAUUAGCUUGUUGGCGGGGUAACGGCCCACCAAGGCGACGAUCAGUAGGGGUUCUGAGAGGAAGGUCCCCCACAUUGGAACUGAGACACGGUCCAAACUCCUACGGGAGGCAGCAGUGAGGAAUAUUGGUCAAUGGGCGAGAGCCUGAACCAGCCAAGUAGCGUGCAGGAUGACGGCCCUAUGGGUUGUAGACUGCUUUUAUAAGGGAAUAAAGUGAGUCUCGUGAGACUUUUUGCAUGUACCUUAUGAAUAAGGACCGGCUAAUUCCGUGCCAGCAGCCGCGGUAAUACGGAAGGUCCGGGCGUUAUCCGGAUUUAUUGGGUUUAAAGGGAGCGUAGGCCGGAGAUUAAGCGUGUUGUGAAAUGUAGAUGCUCAACAUCUGAACUGCAGCGCGAACUGGUUUCCUUGAGUACGCACAAAGUGGGCGGAAUUCGUGGUGUAGCGGUGAAAUGCUUAGAUAUCACGAAGAACUCCGAUUGCGAAGGCAGCUCACUGGAGCGCAACUGACGCUGAAGCUCGAAAGUGCGGGUAUCGAACAGGAUUAGAUACCCUGGUAGUCCGCACGGUAAACGAUGGAUGCCCGCUGUUGGUCUGAAUAGGUCAGCGGCCAAGCGAAAGCAUUAAGCAUCCCACCUGGGGAGUACGCCGGCA
Molecule: ribosomal RNA, 879 nt
Filed under: uncultured bacterium
Lineage: Bacteria
Description: bacterial SSU rRNA
Rfam family: Bacterial small subunit ribosomal RNA
Source: RNAcentral